Molecule: long non-coding RNA, 893 nt
Organism: Mytilus trossulus (common blue mussel)
Lineage: Eukaryota; Metazoa; Mollusca; Bivalvia; Mytilida; Mytilidae
Exons: 3
Source: RefSeq, a predicted model, not a curated record
UUUGAUUGACCAAAGACUCGGAAGGAAGUAUUAUAUUGAAUACACCGUAUGGGUAACCGUUAUCAUGUUUAUUCUUACAUCAGUAGAACCAUCGAGGUACAAUAAUAAUUUGGGAUUAUUGUGUGGCCAGUGAUGGAUUAUGUCGCGCGUUUUGUAAUACACGCAGUACUGUAAUGUGAAACGAGGUCAUUCUGUUGUGUACUUUAGUCAAAGGAAGAGAAAGAUGGAGUCCCUUAGAAUAAGAAAAUGAAACUGAUUGGAUUUCGUUUUAAAGGAAGAAGUCUUAGAGUCUGAAGCUAACGUGUAUACCUACGAGAGUUCUGACGAAUCACGAAAGAAAAGAAUAACUCAAAGUACUGGUGGCAUGGGUGCAGUGAAUUCGAAAUAUCAACAGCGACCCUCAAAUACAGAAUAUGAAAGAAAAAGACUUCACUAUCUAUGAGUACCAAUAUAAUCUUUAAGCAGUUCAGUGGAUUUUGAAUCCAGACCAGCCAGUCAAGAGAAUUAACCGUAAAUAGAAAAUUAGCAAAAGUGACAGCAACACACGUAUGUUUCGAUUGGUGUGAUAUAUUUUGGACAGGAGUAGCAGUUUGCGGUGCAUUGAUUCCAAAAUCUUGACAAAACAACAACUGAACACCUUUUUGUCUCUUUCAAGUAGGAUUGUGCUUUAAACUGACCAAAUCACAAACAUCGACCUGUAAACUAACUAUGUGCAUUUAUUGCUUUAUUGAACAUAACUGUGUAAACCUAAUUUUGUGACUGAAUUCAGUCAUUCUAUUUUUUAUUUUUUGCAGAAUUGGUCUAUUUUCAACAAAUUUUUACUGAAUUUGUGUUGACUAAAUUCAGUCAUAUGUUGUAUAGAUGUCAAUACUAUGUAAUCUCACUUGGUGUAA